UAUUUAUUAACUUUGUGGUGGUAUUUUUUUUAAAUAAAAUAGCAGUUUAAAUCAUUCUGUGGUUUCAUAAUAUAAGAAUAAAUCCCCAAAUAUAUGACUUAUCUGACAUCUUUGGUUGAAUGCUACAUGCUGAUACAGAUAUUCUUCUAAUAACAUCACUGUACUUCAGCUUACUGGUAUUUAUUAACACGAACUCCGCACACAAUUCUCGGUGAAAUGAUUAAAUGACAGUUUUAAUUCAGACAUUUUUUUUCUUUUAAUGGAAUUCUUUAAGAACAAAAAUGUUAAAUUACUCUCUUCGGCGCUUGAGCCGAGGUCGAAAGGGUCAUUGUACAGUACAGUAUCGUCUUUUUCACAAUAUUUCACAGUAUUUACAUUCACUUCAAGGUCACAUGUGCUCUUCACCGCAAACCUACAGCGCUCUCUGGUGGUGAUGAGUCUAUACACCUCCAUACAACUCCUGUUUCAUAGUGACCAUGGAGAAACACUAGGAACCGGUCCAGUCCAAUUCCAGGUACAAAAUGGUAAUGUCGAGAUUAAGAGAAAACACACUGUUAACUGUACACUGGUUCAAGUCAGUUCAGUAUAUUCACAGAACAAAAACAAACAAACAAACAAAAAAAAACACCCAAAAAACAAUCUAUCACAAAAGAACUGCAAGCUGAGAAAAUAGCUGUAAUGGAAAAAUGAAAAGAAAAAAAAAAAAAACAAUAAUAAAAUAUUUAAAUAAAUCUAAACACUGACUGAUGCAAUGAGUUACAUUAAAGAUUUUUAACACUAGUGCUACUUCAUAUGCAUAUUUUAAAAAACAUGGCCCUUCACUUUCAAGUUGGUUUGUACAUUUUUACUGUGUGUGUGUGUGUAUAAAUCUUUUCAGAUGUGCCUAAAAAGACCAAAAUUUAAGUACUGGCUUUUUUUCAUCCCUCUCAGAAAUCUCAGUACCAAAUGGUAACUCUCCUUGUCGCCAGGCUGGUACCAUUUAGUGUGUGGACCUUUGAUUCGCUUUUAAAGCUUUAAAAAGGCUCACAAAUGCUCCUUAAGGUCCGGUUACAUGCCUUAAACGAACAUGCAAAAGAUGUCCUUGAUAGUGCAAUGCUUGCGCCAAAGAAAAGUACCUUUUUGGUACCUUUAUUCCAGAAUGACCGUUAGCAUCCGUUUGUGUUUGGGGUUUUUUUGGGGUUUUUUUGUGCUAGAUUAUUUUCUUUCUGGGACCACCUUAAUGAGCAACAUUCACAUAUAUACACCUACAGAGAACAUUAGUGCAUUUCAUUACAGCAGCCACGCUCUCAAAUAAAAAGGCAGCAAAAGGUAUGGUACUUUUACGCUGGUCUGGUGUGGUACCGUUAAGGGUACAUCGUUCGUUUGUAUCUAUAUUAUCUCUCUUUUCACCUUUAAAAAUACCGGAAGGUAUAAAAUCGGACGUUGUACAUUUACGCUAAAAGCGGAUUAAUUGUAAAAGACACGCACUAAAUGGUACUUCAGUGACAAUGAUCAAAGUCAGUUCAGUACCUUUACUUCUGAGAGUGCAGAAAAAAAAGAAAGAAAUUUGCAGACUCACAAGCAGCAGCACUCAUAACCAUGUCUCCAAAAAAACAAAACAAAACAAAACAAAAAAAAAACCCUAAGAAAUCCUAGGAAGUUUUCAUAAAAACACUUAAAAUUGGAAUAAAUAAUAGACGAAAGAGAAGAAAGGAGAAGUCAAAGCCAGGACAAACUCAGCAUGGUGACAUCAGAUCAUUUAGGAUCAUUAGUGACACAGUGGCUACAAAAUUAUUCAUGGUGUUUCUGAAGUGCCUCUUGGCUCCAGUUAUUGCCCGCAGGUUCGCCUGAUUCAUUAUUAACCAGCGUCGUCAACCAUUAAUGCACCUGCACCUGAGCGGCGGGGACGCAGGAUAACGCACGGCUACAUCUAGCUCAUCGACCUCGGAAAUCAAUCUAUUUUUACUUUGGUGUGAAAAUGCCACCUGGUUUGAGAAUAGGAUCAGGAUUCGCACUUUGGUGAGGAAGAGAUUCUAGUUGGAGAAAAUGUCAAAAGCAAAGCAAGAGAUGCAAAGGUCAAACAAAUGACAUGAGGUUAAAUUAGAGCAAUACCCCAUCAUUAACAUGACUUAAUAUCUUAAAAUAUAAAAGUUAUUACAUCUAAAUAAUAUUUUAAGUUAAAAUAAUUUUAAAAAUUUUACGUUGAAAUAAGAUCUUAAAUUGAAAUAAUGACGUCCUGUAAUAAGGUUCAAACAAAAUGUAUCUAGAUAUUGGCUAUUAAAUUGAAAUAUUUGUCGUUACGACAACUUAAGUCGUUAUUUUAAGAUCUUACUUUCAACAUAAUUAAAAGUCAAGCUAUGGCCUUAUUUUGACGUAAUGUCUCAUUAUUGUGAAUUCAUAUUUUCCAAGUCGAAAUAACGAUUAAUAAGUUGAAAUCACAACCUAGCUUGAAAAUAAAUUACGUUGAAAUAAUGGCACAAUAUCUUGAAAUGAGUUAUUAAAGCAAUAAUGAGAUGUCAUUAUUUCAACUUAACUCGUUAUUUCAAGAUAUGAUUAUUUUGAUUUAAUGCAAGAUUUCAAGAUGUUAUCUCUACGUGAUGUACGUCAAAAUAACACAGCUUGAAGAUCUUAAGAGCUCGUUCUUUUGACAACUCUACUUCAAGGUACGUCAUUAUUUUGAUGUAAUCUCAUUUUUUAAAAACUCAUUACUCUAAGAUACGUCCUCAUUCCAACUUAAGAUCUCAUUACUUCAUGAGAGGAGAUGUCGUUAUUUUGACUUGGUAUUGUAUUAUUUCAAUAUAAUGUUGCAAUUCUGUCUGUGUCGUAUUAUUUUUAUUCUCAUAACACUUAAAAUGGACAGAACGAUCAUAUCACAGCGCUCGUUUUGUUCGUUCGAAUUUGACUCGUUCGUACCUGAACGCAUUUUAAUGAAUUAAUAAUCACUAGCCAUAACAAAUGUGUGAACUGAAUUUCCACUAAAGCAGCGCCUGGCUACUGACUAUCAGGGAAACAGUUUACAAAAUAAUAACCGUAAGCUAAUACACAAUAAAUUAAUUUUUAUUGUUAGAUUGUGAAAUGUUAAAUAUUAAGCCAGAAUAACAAGAUAUGUUUAAAAAAAAAACUAGACAACUCAAAACAACAACUUUAUAAGAAAUACGGCAUAUCUCUAUUAACAGUAAAGCUUUUGUUCCAAACAGAGGACAAGCUAAAGGACGUGGCUUAGUAAGGUGCUUUGGGCCACCACGAGCCACCAGUACAACAUGAGUACACCUUGAAAACUAUUUUACACCUCUUUGGAACUGGAUUGAAGCGAUGAACACCAGAAGACAUUCUCUGAAGUGGUUUUUUGAUGAUGAUGGUGCUGGAGAGCGCUGUCUAACUUCUCCCCUCAUACUGUAAGUGUCCGAUUUUGUUGAGAUUUGAUAAGUGUGAAGGCCAUAGCAUACGAGUUAUAUCAGUUUUGUCCUCACUGAUAGAUUUAUUGAGCUGUUGUGCUCUGUGAGUGGGGGCGGAGUCAAGUUGGAAGAGACCACGCCUCUAUUCAGGAUUGAAACGUAGACGAUCACUCGUGAUAACUCUGCAGUGACACUUCACUCGAACGGGACGAGUGGAACCAAAAGAUUGGCAGCAAAAUAUAUAAUCCUAACCUUGUGGCCCAGGUUUUUUUUCCCCUUUCGUUUGUCACCUGUCUGCUGUGAUCAUUAAUAAUAUGCACUUCAUUAGUGUAAAGGUUAUACCUGAAUCUAUUGCUUCAAGAUCUAAUGUGUGAGGAACUCGAGCCACACAAAGCCUUAACAUCUGCUGGAUCAAAUUAUGCAACGAGCUUAAAUAACCUCCAGCACCUUUUUUCUUUCAGGAAUUGGUUGAACAGAUUGACGAUUUUUUUUUUUUUAGUCAUUAGAAAAAAAAUUCCCAGUCAAGCUUCUGGGACUUUGGUUGCCCGGUAUGUCCCUCGGCAGGUAAUGCGAGGGCAAAUGGAGGAGGCGGAGGCCGGGGCUGAGAUUUUUCCAUCACCUGCGCUGAGUGGAAAAUUCAACAGAGUUACUCGUUACCAUAAAAGCUUAAAAGGCAGAGAAAAAAAACCCUGGUCCCCAGAAAGAGGAGGACGAUUGGCCCCGGUGGCCUUAACCUCUCAGGAAUGUCUGGAGUGCAAAAAAAAAAGAAGAAAAAAAAAGAAAAGUCAAAAAACUCAUGCUUAACCAAGCAUAGGAUUCCAGACUACCACAUAUGCUGCUUCAGGUCUGAAAACUAAUUUCUGAUUACAAUUUUUUUGGACAGCAGAAACUUUUCUCUCUCUCUUGCUUGCUCUUAUAUAUAUAUAUAUAUAU
Molecule: long non-coding RNA, 4307 nt
Organism: Ictalurus punctatus (channel catfish)
Lineage: Eukaryota; Metazoa; Chordata; Actinopteri; Siluriformes; Ictaluridae
Source: Ensembl